Molecule: long non-coding RNA, 288 nt
Organism: Sinocyclocheilus anshuiensis
Lineage: Eukaryota; Metazoa; Chordata; Actinopteri; Cypriniformes; Cyprinidae
Exons: 4
Source: RefSeq, a predicted model, not a curated record
CACACACAAAAAGACAUUUUGAAGAAGAUUGGGACGCAACCUAGAGGAAUUCUCAGUGUGUCUGAAAUUGCUGUGACUGGUCCACCGGGCCUCUUCAUAUCACAAAUGGAAAUAGGCCAGAAUUUCCAGAGCUCCGUCACGCUGUCCUGGGUCAGAGGUCCGAAUCCGUUCACCCAUCUGCUGUCUGUUUGUUUCGCUGCAAAUACUCCGAGCCUGCAGUCUAACGUCAGGUGCAUAUGGCUUCAACGAACGCGAACAGACCCUUUGCCACCCGGAACAGGUAAUAUA